This 3717-nucleotide long non-coding RNA is filed under the name Vigna radiata. Its description in RNAcentral is "long non-coding RNA (VRAD_LNC007453)". The record is from RNAcentral. Lineage: Eukaryota; Viridiplantae; Streptophyta; Magnoliopsida; Fabales; Fabaceae.
UUAUUAAUAAAGUGAUAUAUUCAGCUAUAUUGUGUUUCCUUAUUUCUGGUAUCUAUCACAAACAAACAAGUAUAGCCAGUUAAAAAUUGAUCCAGAAAACACUGCACUGUACCAGUAAAUAAAACCCUUAGCUUCACAGUGCACAAAAUUUCCAUGCACUAUUUAAACCCCUACACCAUAACAGGCUCGAAGAUCAUAAUCUUCAAUGAUCAAGUAUUGCUCUUGUAUGGACAAACACCGAAUGAUUCAUGUACCUUCCAAAUCAACCACUUAAGAAUAAUAGUGAAUGCAAACAUAAUAAAACGAGAGAGACUACAACCAUUCGAAAAAGUAAUCUACCGCCAUUGCCUCCACAACACUACAGACAUCCAUAGCAAGCAAGUUUCCACUGCAAAUGCCGAAGGCACAACUCUACACAACUCUACAAAUGCCAAAGCCUCUCAUACUCAUAGUGCCUGUUUACAAGAACUCCCACUCCAAAAGUUUAGCCAGAAAAAUAAUUGUGAAGAAAAUAACGAAUGUAAAGAUAAUAGAACCUAAAGUUUCCCUGGAUAUCCAACCACUGCUUCCCAAACCUAUCCACCACCCACUAUUUGCACACCCUGCACCCACUUCAUUUUAGUUUCCCUGCAAAGCCCAUGCAUACAAAAAAAAUAUAAUUAAUCUGGGUAGAAGAUGAAGGAGCUAAUCAAUAAGAUAAAAACAGGAAUUAAAAUUCCAAAGGAGAUAUUCCCAAAACAGGCUCGGUGAUCAUAAUGUUCAGCAUUACUGAUCUUGCACCAUGGCCGGAACAUGUACCUUACUACAACCAAUAAAAGAGACUUUUCCAACUCGACAGACAAAAGGCCCAAACAACUACAACCAAUAAAAGAGACUAAAGUCCUUCCAACUCGAGCAGAUAAAAAAUAGUAAAUGAGAACGUAAUAAAACAUGAAGCUUUGAAGUAAGUUAAAUAAUCUAAACCUACUGUAUCCAGAUCCAAUAUACAUCUUCUUCACUGCAACAUGAGCAGAAGAGCAUAGUCAAAAUCAACAGCCAACUGUCACAACACAAAUGUCAAAGCCUCUCACUCAUAGAGUGCCUAUUUACAAAUCUCCCACUCCACAAUUUUAACAUGACAAAUAACGUCAAUGAAAAUAGUCAAUGAAAAUAGUGAGUUCAAAGAAAACGAAUUCAAAGAUAAUAAAACCUUACGUUCAACAUAUCUCCAUCCACUGCUACCUAAACUUGCCCACCACCCACCAUUUGCUCACCCUGCACCCAUUUCAAUUCUUCUUUUCCUGUAAACUCAUUAAUCCAAGAAAACAAUAAUCAAUAUGGGUAGAAGAUAAAGGGUCACCCAUCCAUUAAAAAAACAAUAAUCAAUUUGGAUAGAAGACGAAGGACCAACACCAUAAGAUGAAUAAACAAAUUCAGGAACCAAAAAACUAAUUGAGAAACUUCCAUAGCAGGCUCGAUCUUCAUAAUCUUAAGCAAUCAAGUAUUGCUAUAAUUAAUCUGGGUAGAAGAUGAAGGACCUAGAAGAUAAGAUGAAUAAUGUCCAGCAAUCAAGUAUCGCUCUUGUUUUAACAAAGACCAUGCCCAAAACAUGUACCUUCCUAAAACAAAUAAGAGAGACUAAAGCCACUCGGGCACACAAGAAAACAAGUAAAUGACUCUUCAAUGCAAAAGGAGUGGGAGAAGAUGAUCAAAAUCAACGGAGUCAAUGGUCAAACAACCCAAACGACAAAGCCUCCACUCAGAGUGCCUACUUUCAGGAUCUCCCACUCCAAAAGUCAGAGCCAAAUGUCAAAGGCUCUCACUCAUAGAGUGCCUACUAUCAUGAUCUCCCGCUCCAAAACAUAGACCCAAAUACCGAAGCCUCAAACUCAUAGAAUGCGUACAUUAAAGAUCUCCCACUCGAAAAGUUUAGUUUGAAGACCGAAACCAGCCCACCACCCACCAUUUGCAAACCCCUGCACACAUUUCAUUUCUUUGUUUCCGUGUAAAGCCCAUCAAUUCAAGAAAACAAUAAUCAAUUUGGGUAGAAGAUGAAGAACUAAGACCCCAUCCAUUCAAGAAAUUUGGGUAAAUGAUGAAAGACCCAAGCCCAUAAGAUGAAUAAACAAAUUCAAAAACAAAAAUACUAAUUGAGAAACUUCCAUAGUAGGUUCGAUCAUCAUAAGGUUCAGCGAUCAAGUAUUACUCAUGCUUAGAUAAACACCAUGGCUGACACAUGAACGUUCCUACAACCAAUACGUUUUUUCAUGUAAAGCCCACGUAUUCAAUAAAACUACAAUUAAUCUGGGCAGAAGAUGAAAGACCUAGAUGACAAGACGAAUAAACAAAUUAAAGAAUUAAAAAAACAAUGGAUAAAUUUCCAUAACAGAUUCUUUGACCAUAUUUUUCCAGUGAGCGUGUACCUUCCUACAACCUACAACCAAUAAGAGAGACUAAAGCCACUUAAGCAAACUAGAAUAAUCGUAAAUGAGAAUGUAAUUAAACAUAAAGCUUUGCAGUAAUUUAAAUAAUCUACACCUNCUGCAUGCACGAUCCAAUAAACAUCCUCUUCACNGCAAGAGGAGUAGAAGAAGAUAAUCAAAAUCAACAGAGCCAACAGAUCAACAACCCAAAUGUCAAAGCCUCUCACUUAUAGAGUGCAUACUUUAAAGAUCUCCCAUUCCACAAGUUUAGUUUGAAAAAUAACAGCAAUGAAAUUAACGAAUGCAAAGANAAUAAAACAAAGGGAUAAUAAAACAAAGGGUUACACCGGAGCUCCANCCAUUGUUACCAUCCACUGUUUCUGAAGCUGCNCACCACCCACCAUUUGCAUACCCUGCAAUCACUUGAUUUCUUAGUUUUCUUGUAAAGCCCAUCGAUCAGAUGAAGGACCUAGAUGAUAUGAUAAAUAAACAAAUACAAUAAUUAAAAAACCAAUGGAGAAAUUUCCAAACAAGCUCGAUCAUGUUAAUGUUCCAGCGAUCAAUUAUUGCUCUUGUAUAGACAAACCCCAUGGCCGAAACAUGUACCUCCCUACAACAAACAAGAGAGACUAAAGCCAAUCCACCUAGAACAGACAAGAAAAAUAGUACAUCAGAAUCAAAGAAAACAUAAAGCUCUAUGGUAAGUUAAAUAACCUACAACUACUGCGCCCACGAUCCAAUAGACAUCUUCAUUGCAAGAUGAGUAGAAGAAGAUUAAUCAAAAUCAACAGCCAAAGGUCCAACGAGACUAUCACUCAUAGAGUGCCUACUUUCAAGAUCUACCACUCCAAGUUUAGUUUGAAGAAUAACGGCAAUCAAAAUAAUAAAUUAAAAAAUAAUAAAACCUAAGGUUCACCAGAUUUCCACUCAAAAAUAAUAAAACCUAAGAAUCACCGGAUUUCCAUCCACCAUUACCGCAACCUGCCCACCACCCAUCAUUUACACACCCUGCACACAUUUCAUUUCUUAGUUUCCGUGUAAAGCCCAUCAAUUCAAGAAAACAAUAAUCAAUUUGGAUAGAAGAUGAAGGAUCUCGAUCAAAUCCAUUCAAGAAAUUUGGGUAGAAGAUGAAAGACCCAAGACCAUAAUAUGAAUAAACAAAUUAGCGAAUAUUAAUUGAGAAACUUCCUUAGUAGGCUCGAUCAAGUAUUGCUCAGCCUUACACAAACACCAUGACUGACACAUGUACCUUUCUACAACCAAUACGUUUUCAUGUAAAGCCCAUGUAUUCAAUAAAACUAUAAUUAAUCUGGGU